This 379-nucleotide ribosomal RNA is filed under the name uncultured eukaryote. Its description in RNAcentral is "partial 18S ribosomal RNA". It matches the Rfam family "Eukaryotic small subunit ribosomal RNA", at positions 592 to 976 of the family's 1831-position model. The record is from RNAcentral.
CAAUAGCGUAUAUUUAAGUUGUUGCAGUUAAAAAGCUCGUAGUUGGAUUUCGGAUGGGAUUUGCCGGUCCGUCGUUACGAUGUGCACUGGCCAGUCCUAUCUUGUUGUCGGGGACUAGCUCCUUGGAUUCACUUCCUGGGACUAGGAGCUGACGAGGUUACUUUGAGUAAAUUAGAGUGUUCAAAGCAAGCCUACGCUCUGAAUACAUUAGCAUGGAAUAACACGAUAGGACGCUGGCUUAUCUUGUUGGUCUGUGAGACCAGAGUAAUGAUUAAGAGGGACAGUCGGGGACAUUCGUAUUUCAUUGUCAGAGGUGAAAUUCUUGGAUUUAUGAAAGACGAACUUCUGCGAAAGCAUUUGUCAAGGAUGUUUUCAUUAA